AUGACUGAUGGCUGAGAAGGGAGGGUAGAGGACGGAGGUUUGACUGCAGAUUUGGACGAUGAGUGCCGGUAAAAGUACCCGAUGCACCAUUCAGAAGGCAUAGGACAUCGCAGGAAGGAAGGGUAUUUCACCGCAGGAUGUCCUAAAAUGCGUUCCGUAAAUGCAGGGGGAUGGCCAGGAAAGGAGAAUCACGACAAGUAUGAAAAAUUCCUCCUAUCACAGUGCUCUUUCUCGAGUGCAACAUUUUCCCAUAACUACAGCAUCAUUGUGACUGCGAGGAGGGAGAUGCACCUAAUGCAAAUUGCACUGAUGAGUCAAAUUUUUUGUAAGCCUGCAACUGCACCUGAGACUUCCUAAUCUCUGUGUGGGAUUUCAAAUCCAAACUACAAAACUGAUUGUUAAAUAAACAAUGAUCAGAUGAAGAAUUUAUUUCUCUUGAUGAGGAAGUCUGUUUCUUCGGUGAUUUGGAUGAUACUGAGGUAUCUCAACACAGAGGAUACUAAAAUAGGGCAUACCCAGGUUUUGGUGGUGGGAAGAAGAUUAAAGAACGUCUUCAGAACCUGGUCAGUUUGGCGCACCGACAACUGGGUUUUAGAUAUCCUAAAGUUGAGGUACAAGCUGGCAUUCGGAAGAAUACUGCUACAGAAAUUUCCAUUCCUGGAUUCCAAAGAAAAUUGUCAAGUGAAAUAAAACUUCUUUUGUGUGUGCAA
Xenopus laevis (African clawed frog) is the source of this 710-nucleotide long non-coding RNA. RefSeq lists it as uncharacterized. The transcript is spliced from 6 exons. The record is from RefSeq and is a predicted model, not a curated record. Lineage: Eukaryota; Metazoa; Chordata; Amphibia; Anura; Pipidae.